Suricata suricatta (meerkat) is the source of this 110-nucleotide small nuclear RNA. Lineage: Eukaryota; Metazoa; Chordata; Mammalia; Carnivora; Herpestidae. The record is from Ensembl.
GUGCUCGCUUUCAGCAGCACAUAUGCUAAAGACUCAGAACGAUACAGAGAAGAUUAGCAUGACCCCCAUGUAGGGAUGAAAUGUAGAUUCAUGAAAUGUUCAAUAUUUAA